ACGCUCGACACCUACGGGAGGCNGCAGUGGGAAUAUUGCACAAUGGGGGAAACCCUGAUGCAGCGACGCCGCGUGAGCGAAGAAGUAUCUCGGUAUGUAAAGCUCUAUCAGCAGGGAAGAAGAUGACGGUACCUGACUAAGAAGCACCGGCUAAAUACGUGCCAGCAGCCGGGUAAUCUGAGGCGGGCUGGCAAGGC
Molecule: ribosomal RNA, 197 nt
Filed under: uncultured bacterium
Lineage: Bacteria
Description: partial 16S ribosomal RNA
Rfam family: Bacterial small subunit ribosomal RNA
Source: RNAcentral